GUCAUUCCUUAAUGGCCUUUUGUGUCUGUGAUGUCACAAUUCUAGAGACUUUUCUUGCUAUGGCUGUUCUAUGAAACUCUCCGUGUUCAUCACAAAAACUUUCAACAUGUGCCCAGCCAGCUCCUGCAUGCCUGUGCCAAGCUUCCCUUCUUACAACACAGUCCUUGAAAUGAGCCCAUCUGAAAAGAAGCCCCAAGCUGGCAAGGAUGCCAUGAGGUGAACAGACCUCUCCAACACACAAGUCCAUCUUGAAAUGAGGAGCUGCAUAAAUCCAAAGCAACAAGGCCAAGCAAAUGUGGACUGGGAUGUCAGACACAGAGUCUCUGAAUUUUCUCAGGCACUUUGCUGCAGAAACGGAUAGCUAAAUCCCUUACUUACAGAUCUCUUUGCUUAUACAUGCACUAGAAGACACAGAGUUCCUACUCACCUCUCUUGGUUUAUCUCGAAAUUUUUAGUAAGCUAAAUUUUACUUGCAUGUUUUUCAAUAUCUAACACAUUUCAGCAAGCUA
Molecule: non-coding RNA, 509 nt
Organism: Rattus norvegicus (Norway rat)
Lineage: Eukaryota; Metazoa; Chordata; Mammalia; Rodentia; Muridae
Source: RefSeq, a predicted model, not a curated record